Molecule: unclassified non-coding RNA, 232 nt
Filed under: Hevea brasiliensis (rubber tree)
Lineage: Eukaryota; Viridiplantae; Streptophyta; Magnoliopsida; Malpighiales; Euphorbiaceae
Source: RNAcentral
CAGAUACCAUUGAAGUCAUCCCCUUUAAUACCGUGUAAAAGACCUGCAGUACUGAUAUUUACUCCGACGACAUCCUUAAUAGUGAUCUUGCUUAUGACAGGAAGGGCAUUUGGGUCGUAGUUAUCGUCUGGAUGCUCACCAUACUGGCCUUGUAUUCUGAUGGCGAUCUUUACAUUAGUCAUGGUCACAUCGGAAAUGUAUAGAUUUCUGACAUAACCACCGCGUCCUGGAG